GUACUGAGACACGGACCAGACUCCUACGGGAGGCAGCAGUGGGGAAUUUUGGACAAUGGGGGCAACCCUGAUCCAGCAAUGCCGCGUGAGUGAAGAAGGCCUUCGGGUUGUAAAGCUCUUUUGUCAGGGAAGAAACAGCAGCUCUAACACAGUCUGCGAAUGACGGUACCUGAAGAAUAAGCACCGGCUAACUACGUGCCAGCAGCCGCGGUAAUACGUAGGGUGCAAGCGUUAAUCGGAAUUACUGGGCGUAAAGCGUGCGCAGGCGGUUAUACAAGACAGGCGUGAAAUCCCCGGGCUUAACCUGGGAAUGGCGUCUGUGACUGUAUGACUAGAGUGUGUCAGAGGGGGGUAGAAUUCCACGUGUAGCAGUGAAAUGCGUAGAUAUGUGGAGGAAUACCAAUGGCGAAGGCAGCCCCCUGGGAUAACACUGACGCUCAUGCACGAAAGCGUGGGGAGCAAACAGGAUUAGAUACCCUGGUAGUCCACGCCCUAAACGAUGCCGACUAGUUGUUGGGAAUUUACAUUCUCAGUAACGUAGCUAACGCGUGAAGUCGGCCGCCUGGGGAGUACGGUCGCAAGAUUAAAACUCAAAGGAAUUGACGG
RNAcentral lists this ribosomal RNA (606 nucleotides) under uncultured Pseudomonadota bacterium. RNAcentral describes it as "bacterial SSU rRNA". It matches the Rfam family "Bacterial small subunit ribosomal RNA", at positions 316 to 916 of the family's 1533-position model. Lineage: Bacteria; Pseudomonadati; Pseudomonadota. The record is from RNAcentral.